UAAGGAAUAUUGGUCAAUGCCCGGAAGGGUGAACCAGCCAUCCCGCGUGAAGGAUGAAGGGGCUCUGCCUUGUAAACUUCUUUUGAAUGGGACGAAAAAGCCUCACUUGUGAGGAACUGACGGUACCAUUAGAAUAAGCACCGGCUAACUCCGUGCCAGCAGCCGCGGUAAUACGGAGGGUGCGAGCGUUAUCCGGAAUCACUGGGUUUAAAGGGUGCGUAGGCGGCUGUAUAAGUCAGUGGUGAAAGGCUGUGGCUUAACCAUGGGAUUGCCAUUGAUACUGUACGGCUUGAAUUAGGAUGAGGUUGGCGGAAUGUGACAUGUAGCGGUGAAAUGCUUAGAUAUGCCAUGGAACGCCGGUGGCGAAAGCGAUUCUCUGGUCCGCUCCUGACACUGAGGCGCGAAAGCUAGGGGAGCAAACGGGAUUAGAUACCCAAGUAGUCCCUGAGCGGGCUGGCAAGGCGCAU
This 467-nucleotide ribosomal RNA is filed under the name uncultured bacterium. Its description in RNAcentral is "bacterial SSU rRNA". It matches the Rfam family "Bacterial small subunit ribosomal RNA", at positions 355 to 825 of the family's 1533-position model. The record is from RNAcentral.